UACGGAGGGUGCAAGCGUUAAUCGGAAUUACUGGGCGUAAAGCGCACGCAGGUGGCUGAGUCAGUCGAUUGUGAAAGCCCUGGGCUUAACCUGGGAAUUGCAGUCGAUACUACUCAGCUAGAGUAUGGGAGAGGGUAGUGGAAUUCCCGGUGUAGCGGUGGAAUGCGUAGAUAUCGGGAGGAAUACCAGUGGCGAAAGCGGCACCCUGGCAUUAGCCUGACGCUCAUGUGCGAAGGCGUGGGGAGCGAACGGG
This 253-nucleotide ribosomal RNA is filed under the name uncultured bacterium. RNAcentral's name for it is "partial 16S ribosomal RNA". It matches the Rfam family "Bacterial small subunit ribosomal RNA", at positions 524 to 776 of the family's 1533-position model. The record is from RNAcentral.